Molossus molossus (Pallas's mastiff bat) is the source of this 120-nucleotide non-coding RNA. NCBI's taxonomy places the organism in Eukaryota, Metazoa, Chordata, Mammalia, Chiroptera, Molossidae. The record is from RefSeq and is a predicted model, not a curated record.
GUGACUGCUGGCACUGGUGGCAUUUGUUAGGUGUGCUGUGCGACUAGGCGGUCACUCACAUCAGAACUCGGUUCCUGCCGCAGUUGGAAGUCACCAGAUCUGUGCGGUGGCCCGUGCACG